Molecule: transfer RNA, 77 nt
Filed under: Bacillota bacterium
Lineage: Bacteria; Bacillati; Bacillota
Description: tRNA-Pro
Rfam family: tRNA
About the family: Transfer RNA (tRNA) molecules are approximately 80 nucleotides in length. Their secondary structure includes four short double-helical elements and three loops (D, anti-codon, and T loops).
Source: RNAcentral
CGGGGUGUAGCGCAGCUUGGUAGCGCGUCUGUUUCGGGAAUAGAAGGUCGCAGGUUCAAAUCCUGUCACCCCGACCA